Molecule: ribosomal RNA, 468 nt
Filed under: uncultured bacterium
Lineage: Bacteria
Description: partial 16S ribosomal RNA
Rfam family: Bacterial small subunit ribosomal RNA
Source: RNAcentral
GACGAACGCUGGCGGCGUGCUUAACACAUGCAAGUCGAACGGAAAGGCCCUGCUUUUGUGGGGUGCUCGAGUGGCGAACGGGUGAGUAACACGUGAGUAACCUGCCCUUGACUUUGGGAUAACUUCAGGAAACUGGGGCUAAUACCGGAUAGGAGCUCCUGCUGCAUGGUGGGGGUUGGAAAGUUUCGGCGGUUGGGGAUGGACUCGCGGCUUAUCAGCUUGUUGGUGGGGUAGUGGCUUACCAAGGCUUUGACGGGUAGCCGGCCUGAGAGGGUGACCGGCCAAAUUGGGACUGAGAUACGGCACAGACUCCUACGGGAGGCAGCAGUGGGGAAUAUUGCACAAUGGGCGGAAGCCUGAUGCAGCACAGCCGCGUGCGGGAUAACGGCCUUCGGGUUGUAAACCGCUUUCGCCUGUGACGAAGCGUGAGUGACGGUAAUGGGUAAAGAAGCACCGGCUAACUACGUG